CUAACAUACCCUUUCAGGAUAACUGAAUCUUUUUCCCAAAUCAUACAGCAACCACCAUAACACAGCCUAGAGCCUACAUCUUUCCUUUUGUUCUUCUGAUAAAACAUAACACAGCCUAUGUCAAAAAGCAAAGCCGUCUCAAGCUCGGACAAAGUUGCAACAAUGCUGAGCUGACAGUAAACAUAAAAACAAUCUAAUUUUAAAGAAUUAAGACAUAACAUAACUAUUUUGGAUCAUACAGUCAACCCAACUAUUUUGGAAUUCAGAUGUUAUUUAUCCAUUAUACUGAAAUAGGCAUAACAUAACACAAGACACCUUUUUAAAGGUGGUGAUUUUUUUAUCCAAAUCAUACAACAAAUACCAUAUUUAUUAUGCAAUCAUCUAUUUUCAGCAAGUCUAAAGUACAAAACUUUAAAAGAAAAUAUGUUGUGUAAUUCUGGGUAUUUAGAUCCUGAAUACAUGCAAUCGGGUAUUGCUAGUCAAAAAACUGACGUCUACAACUUCGGUGUUGUCACACCUCCUUUUUUCACUACACCCCCGAAAGAGGGCAUAAUAAAGGGUGUUUUUUCCAAUUAAAGGACAAUCGAAACAGGAUUAUUUAUUAAAAGAUUCAGAGUCUCCACUUGGGAGAUUUAUGGUGUCCCAAGUCACUGGUUUAAAAUCCCGUAUCGAGGAAAAGAAUGACUCUGUUUAACAGUCUGCGAACUAGAAAUCCGGGUAAGGAAUUUUGUUAACCCGGGAGAAGGUGUUAGGCAUUCCCGAGUUUCGUGGUUCUAGCACGGUCGCUCAACUGUUAUUAUUGGCAUAAUUAUCUGAUUUAAAAAACAUUUUGAACCUAUGUGCAUUUUUAUUCCUUUUUAAACCACUUUUAAUUAUUUAAGGAAUUAUUUCAAGGUUAUUUCAAACACGUCGCAAAUCACGCUACAUGAAAUGCACCCGUGAUUCACGAUACGUUAUAUUUAACCUCGUUGGGAAUUAGAACCGGGCCACAUGAAAUGUACUCCCGAAUUUUAGUAAUUACAACUCACAACAAAGUCGCGGAAAAUUAUCACACACGCAACCCUCAAAGACGAUUUUCAUGUGGACUCAACGACUAGAAUAAAUAAAUUAUGAACUCAAUGACUGACUUACACCUCUAUCGCUCCACUUGACUGUUAUCAAAGAUUCCUCCCCGAUGUAAAAUAAAAAUUUUCCAUUCUAAACGACGUACAAUUCUUAUACAUAUGUAAAUACACACACAUGCACAGCCUUUUAUGCCUUGGCCAAAAAGGACAAAAACCAAAGCCCAAACCUGUUGGUGAUUAAUUGCUAACGGAUUGGACUAUUCCAAUUCCUAUAUCCUAGCAACAUUUGAAAUAGGUUAAACACAUUACUUUAUGCCGAGUCCUUAGUCAGCUAUAACAGGAAUACAAUAACUGAACAAACAAGAAGCAACCAAAUAGAGGUGAACUAAAGUGUGACAGGGCCACGACUUCUGCGAGCUCAAAUUGCCAGCCUUCCCAAUUUAUUGACAUGCUUUCAAACCUUCUCUUUAAUAUAUACACUCCAUUUCAGGCUGCUACAGCUCUUCAGGACUCAACAAGAAACCAGAAAAAACACCUUAAACUUACCUAUUUCAUGUGUAAUCCUAAGGAAAAAAUAAAAUACUCAAGGGAGUUGCUUAUGAAUGCAGCAGGUGUACAAUUCUUAAGACGAGAAGAUCAAAGAGCACUUCAACGCGAAAUAAAUUGGGACGAGCAUCAAACAGAAACUAGCAAAGACAAACCAAUUGAGGCAUUCAAUAAACCAUAGGCGAAUUGAUCAGUUCCUGCAAACUAAUGUAUAAUCUGAACGCCUCAUCUUUCCCAAUGCUCAUGCUCAAACAUUUCAACCAAUGAGCAAAUCACCAAGUGACAGAAGCAGAAUUACCCAGCUUAGAAAUAAUUUCACCAUGAGUUUGUACAUUAUUUUGGAGUCACAGUGUCAUGGCUAUUGGUAUAACAUGAUUUUAACAGAUUAUUUGCUAUUUGCAAAAGCAAAACUAUUCAGCUAGAGUUUUUUUUUUAAAAAAAAUCUCUGGACAUAUCAAGUUAGUCAUGGAUAUUCCAGAACUUCUCAUCUUAACACAGGCACACCUUAUCUAUUGCUCUUUGCUAACUGAAAACUAAUGAAGAUCCAGUGGUAUAAAGGUACAACUGAAGCUACCAAGCCAGGGCAUCAAAUUCCAAGUCUUAGAGACCAUUUCGGGAUCCUAAUUCACAAAACGUAACCUACAGGCAACGAGAAUCAGAGAGAUCUAACAUGGAUCAUGUUCGGACAGUGGUGUUGAGCUUUAAACCGAAGAGCACAAGACAUAGAUAGAGCUAAUAUCAUUUCAAAUCAUGAAGACCUCACUUAAUCUAACAAUAUAUCAUCACACAAUUGCGCUGGAUAAAACAAUCAAGCGUCAUAGAGUGAAAAAUAGAAACAUACAAGUUUUUCACAUAGCAAAGUCACUCCGGAUUUUUGAAUUUUACGCUAGUGACAAAGAAUCAUCAGAAUGCCAACUCUAAUAUAAAAGAUAUGAGAACGAGAUGAACCUGUUAAAAUUUCCAGUUGAUCUUUCAGCAAAUUACAACAAUCAAAAUAAAAUGAAUCGGAUGAAUCCACAACAAAGAACUCAACCAAGACCUCAAACCAGAAACGGAAAACAUCAGCUUUCGAACUCGAACAACAACUUCAACAGCGACGAGCUCGUUUAAAUCAACUGCUUUAAACAAGAACCAGAGAAGAAAAACGGAAUCCCUUUUUUGAAAUUUUCUAAUUUCUGAAGCAAACUAUGAACAAACGAAAAACUCAAAAAAAAUUGCAUUUUUUAAUAGAGAAGAAAACGGAAUAACAAAUCCAAAAAAAAAACCUCAGUCUUUAUCUCUGUUAUCAUUUAAGAAAUCGAAGAGCGAUAAAGAAGAUCUAUCUCUCAAAUCCUUUACCAAGUAUGAAACCUCUGAAUAGUCCCCAAGACAUUCUCUCCAAAACCAAAAAAAAUCCCCCCACCCUUACCCGAAAAGGGUCCCUUAUAUAUCCAAACUCUGGAUUCUUUCUUCCUCUUAAAGAAAGCGGAUAAGGCUCUCUUGAAAAUGAGCACGUGGUGAAUGUGAGGCUCAGAUUGAAUGAGAUUGAUCCGACGCCUCUCACUCAUCCAACACCCUUCUUCUAGAGCCUUCUAAUCCACGUGAGAUAGCUUGAAAACGGGCGAGUGAGGGAGAGAAUCUUGUUGUUGUCAGAGCCCGUUACUCCUAUGUGGCAAGAGGAGGGAGGGGGAAGGCGCGUGGGGUGAGUUAGGGUGAAUUUGUGCGAUUUUGGUGAAGGGGAAGAUGAGCAGUAACCUGUGCAGCUUUGGGGUCUUUGAGACUUAGGGUUUUUUGUGUUGUAAUAGGAGCGGGUCGGGUCAGCGUGCGGGUUUGGGCGUGGGUCUAGGUGAUUUGGGCUGAAUGGGUGUAGUUGGGCUGGAGUGAGGGAAUUCACAUUGGGCUUGGACAAAUU
This 3501-nucleotide long non-coding RNA is filed under the name Nicotiana tabacum (common tobacco). Its description in RNAcentral is "long non-coding RNA (NTAB_LNC004525)". Lineage: Eukaryota; Viridiplantae; Streptophyta; Magnoliopsida; Solanales; Solanaceae. The record is from RNAcentral.